CAUGACACACUGGCUGGUCUGGA
Molecule: microRNA, 23 nt
Filed under: Caenorhabditis briggsae
Lineage: Eukaryota; Metazoa; Nematoda; Chromadorea; Rhabditida; Rhabditidae
Source: RNAcentral